This 486-nucleotide ribosomal RNA is filed under the name uncultured bacterium. RNAcentral describes it as "partial 16S ribosomal RNA". It matches the Rfam family "Bacterial small subunit ribosomal RNA", at positions 30 to 507 of the family's 1533-position model. The record is from RNAcentral.
AUUGAACGCUGGCGGCAUGCCUUACACAUGCAAGUCGAACGGCAGCACGGGUGCUUGCACCUGGUGGCGAGUGGCGCACGGGUGAGUAAUACAUCGGAACAUGUCCUGUAGUGGGGGAUAGCCCGGCGAAAGCCGGAUUAAUACCGCAUACGAUCUACGGAUGCAAGCGGGGGACCUUCGGGCCUCGCGCUAUAGGGUUGGUCGAUGGCUGAUUAGCUAGUUGGUGGGGUAAAGGCCUACCAAGGCGACGAUCAGUAGCUGGUCUGAGAGGACGACCAGCCACACUGGGACUGAGACACGGCCCAGACUCCUACGGGAGGCAGCAGUGGGGAAUUUUGGACAAUGGGCGAAAGCCUGAUCCAGCAAUGCCGCGUGUGUGAAGAAGGCCUUCGGGUUGUAAAGCACUUUUGUCCGGAAAGAAAACCUUGGCCCUAAUACGGGCGGGGGAUGACGGUACCGGAAGAAUAAGCACCGGCUAACUACGUG